This 1569-nucleotide ribosomal RNA is filed under the name Salmonella enterica subsp. enterica serovar Oranienburg. RNAcentral's name for it is "bacterial LSU rRNA". It matches the Rfam family "Bacterial large subunit ribosomal RNA", at positions 1271 to 2823 of the family's 2925-position model. Lineage: Bacteria; Pseudomonadati; Pseudomonadota; Gammaproteobacteria; Enterobacterales; Enterobacteriaceae. RNAcentral also lists the same sequence under 2 other names. The record is from RNAcentral.
UGCUGGAGGUAUCAGAAGUGCGAAUGCUGACAUAAGUAACGAUAAAGCGGGUGAAAAGCCCGCUCGCCGGAAGACCAAGGGUUCCUGUCCAACGUUAAUCGGGGCAGGGUGAGUCGACCCCUAAGGCGAGGCCGAAAGGCGUAGUCGAUGGGAAACGGGUUAAUAUUCCCGUACUUGGUGUUACUGCGAAGGGGGGACGGAGAAGGCUAUGUUGGCCGGGCGACGGUUGUCCCGGUUUAAGCGUGUAGGUGUGUGUUCCAGGUAAAUCCGGUUCACUUUAACACUGAGGCGUGACGACGAGGCACUACGGUGCUGAAGCAACAAAUGCCCUGCUUCCAGGAAAAGCCUCUAAGCAUCAGGUAACAUCAAAUCGUACCCCAAACCGACACAGGUGGUCAGGUAGAGAAUACCAAGGCGCUUGAGAGAACUCGGGUGAAGGAACUAGGCAAAAUGGUGCCGUAACUUCGGGAGAAGGCACGCUGACACGUAGGUGAAGUGAUUUACUCAUGGAGCUGAAGUCAGUCGAAGAUACCAGCUGGCUGCAACUGUUUAUUAAAAACACAGCACUGUGCAAACACGAAAGUGGACGUAUACGGUGUGACGCCUGCCCGGUGCCGGAAGGUUAAUUGAUGGGGUCAGCGCAAGCGAAGCUCCUGAUCGAAGCCCCGGUAAACGGCGGCCGUAACUAUAACGGUCCUAAGGUAGCGAAAUUCCUUGUCGGGUAAGUUCCGACCUGCACGAAUGGCGUAAUGAUGGCCAGGCUGUCUCCACCCGAGACUCAGUGAAAUUGAACUCGCUGUGAAGAUGCAGUGUACCCGCGGCAAGACGGAAAGACCCCGUGAACCUUUACUAUAGCUUGACACUGAACAUUGAGCCUUGAUGUGUAGGAUAGGUGGGAGGCUUUGAAGCGUGGACGCCAGUCUGCGUGGAGCCGACCUUGAAAUACCACCCUUUAAUGUUUGAUGUUCUAACGUGGACCCGUAAUCCGGGUUGCGGACAGUGUCUGGUGGGUAGUUUGACUGGGGCGGUCUCCUCCUAAAGAGUAACGGAGGAGCACGAAGGUUGGCUAAUCCUGGUCGGACAUCAGGAGGUUAGUGCAAUGGCAUAAGCCAGCUUGACUGCGAGCGUGACGGCGCGAGCAGGUGCGAAAGCAGGUCAUAGUGAUCCGGUGGUUCUGAAUGGAAGGGCCAUCGCUCAACGGAUAAAAGGUACUCCGGGGAUAACAGGCUGAUACCGCCCAAGAGUUCAUAUCGACGGCGGUGUUUGGCACCUCGAUGUCGGCUCAUCACAUCCUGGGGCUGAAGUAGGUCCCAAGGGUAUGGCUGUUCGCCAUUUAAAGUGGUACGCGAGCUGGGUUUAGAACGUCGUGAGACAGUUCGGUCCCUAUCUGCCGUGGGCGCUGGAGAACUGAGGGGGGCUGCUCCUAGUACGAGAGGACCGGAGUGGACGCAUCACUGGUGUUCGGGUUGUCAUGCCAAUGGCACUGCCCGGUAGCUAAAUGCGGAAGAGAUAAGUGCUGAAAGCAUCUAAGCACGAAACUUGCCCCGAGAUGAGUUCUCCCUGAGACUU